CCUACGGGUGGCUGCAGUGGGGAAUAUUGCACAAUGGGGGAAACCCUGAUGCAGCGACGCCGCGUGAGUGAAGAAGUAAUUCGUUACGUAAAGCUCUAUCCGCAGGGAAGAAAAUGACGGUACCUGAGUAACAAGCCCCGGCUAACUACGUGCCAGCAGCCGCGGUCAUACGUAGGGGGCAAGCGUUAUCCGGAUUUACUGGGGGUAAAGGGAGCGUAGACGGUGCGCCAAGUCUGGAGUGAAAGGCCGCAGCUUAACUGCGGAACUGCUUUGGAAACUGGCGAACUAGAGUGCGGGAGGGGGAAGCGGAAUUCCUAGUGUAGCGGUGAAAUGCGUAGAUAGUAGGAGGAACACCGGUGGCGAAGGCGGCUUACGGGACCGUAACUGACGUUGAGGCACGAAGGCGUGGGGAGCGAACAGGAUUAGAUACCCGUGUAGUC
RNAcentral lists this ribosomal RNA (440 nucleotides) under uncultured bacterium. RNAcentral's name for it is "partial 16S ribosomal RNA". It matches the Rfam family "Bacterial small subunit ribosomal RNA", at positions 338 to 795 of the family's 1533-position model. The record is from RNAcentral.